UACGUAUGGUGCGAACGUUGUUCGGAAUCACUGGGCAUAAAGAGCACGUAGGCGGUCGAGCAAGUCCAUUGUGAAAUCCCCCGGCUCAACCGGGGAACUGCAGUGGAUACUACUUGACUUGAGUGCAGGAGGGGAGAGUGGAAUUCCAGGUGGAGCGGUGAAAUGCGUAGAUAUCUGGAGGAACGCCGGCGGCGAAAGCGACUCUCUGGUCUGUAACUGACGCUGAGGUGCGAAAGCUAGGGGAGCAAACGGG
RNAcentral lists this ribosomal RNA (253 nucleotides) under uncultured bacterium. RNAcentral's name for it is "partial 16S ribosomal RNA". It matches the Rfam family "Bacterial small subunit ribosomal RNA", at positions 524 to 776 of the family's 1533-position model. The record is from RNAcentral.